Mustela lutreola (European mink) is the source of this 1258-nucleotide long non-coding RNA. RefSeq lists it as uncharacterized. NCBI's taxonomy places the organism in Eukaryota, Metazoa, Chordata, Mammalia, Carnivora, Mustelidae. The record is from RefSeq and is a predicted model, not a curated record. The transcript has 2 exons.
CAAGCUGCCUGCUCCUCCCCCUGGUUCCUGUGAUUCAGGACCCUGAGUCCUGAGCCACUCGUAUCCCUCCCCACUCAGACCCUUCACAGACACGGGACCUGGAGAACAGACCCCAACCAGGGUCAUUCUACAGAUGUGAAAACCGUGACCCAGAGAGGGUGAGACUCACCCAAGUUCGAAGGGUGGCAGACUGAAAAGAAACAUCCACUGAUUCCCAUUCUACAGAUGAAGAGACUGAGGAAAAGUCAUGUGCCCGGUAUAGUGGAUGCUAUGGUGUGCCACCCAGACUCCAGACUGACCCUCAUUCCCCAGAUGCUGGAGUGGUGGCUUCUGAUGGUUCCUUUGCUGUCCGCCCUCCAAAGGACCUGCCCUGGACUGGAAGGAGGCACCUCACUCAGGCUUCAACAUCGUACCCCACGCCAGCCCUGCCGCCAAGCAACAAUGACUGGUUGAUGCAAGGCUACAAAGGCCCAGCCCCUUUUGCCUCCAUUUGGGCACCUUGGGAAGGCCACCCCAACUCCAGAGCUCUCCUAGGAUGGGUUGAGGCCACCAUUGCAACUACAGCCCAGCCCAGCUUCUCCCUCUGCCCACCCUGCUCCCUUCACCAUUUGCAUGCUGUGUGAUUUUGGGCAAAUUACCUAACCUCUCUGAACCUCCAUCUUACUACGUGGGAAAUGGAUGUGGAGGGACCUACUUUGCAGAGCUAACUGGAAGUUCCAGAAGGCCACAAACAUAAAAACAUCCAGCACAAGGCAAGUGUGCAGAACAUGAGAUCUGUAAUUAUCAUAUCCAGGCACUCUGCUAGCUGUAACACGUGCAUUAGCUCAUUAUUUUCAUGACCGGUAAGUCAGUCCAUUAUCCUCAACUCCCAAGGCUGUUUUUGUGCUGUCUGCCUCUCAGUCUUUUGCUGGGGGAUUCUUCCCAUUUCUGAGAAGACCAGACUGAGGAGGUGGCUUGCCCAAGGUCAGCUGCCCAGCCGGGGCUCAAUUGUUGUCGCUGUCUCUCCACCGCUGUCCCUCCCGGGGCCCGGGCUGGGCUCCUCUGGCCCGAAGUCUUCCCAAACAAGGAGAGAAUAAAGAGCUUUCUGUCCACACUAGAAGAAAAACAAACCCCCACCGUCCUCCAUUCCCCGCUACGGAAAUGAUGGAUUUCUGUUAUUGUUGUUGUUGAAAUCACUACCAGGGGAAAUAGAUCAAGGGACAUUUUGCCGGCAAGAGAGCUCACUGUGUCACCGAGGAGAAUACACGUCUCUACCACA